CUUUACUAUGGCUUUGACCAGUGAGCUCUGCUUGUUACUGUCAGUAAUGUAUUACUUUCUCUUUCUGGGUUUCGCUUAUGCAUUCAGGGAUAUGUUCUUUUGCUAAUCAAUGAUGCUAAGUAUGUGGACUCCCUAAGGGUAAAUAAGACUUCACAUUUGAUUACCUUUUCACAUUGACAAUAUGUAAAGUGCAAAUAAUUACUGGUAUUACUGCUAUCGUUUAUUUUGCUAGAUUGCCAGACUACUGUCGGAGACAAGAUACAGACGUGGAAGGACUUUUGGCUUGAGUCAUUAUGACCAUUAUUUUGUUCAGAAAAAGAAAUUAAAGGAAAGAGCAUGAAGAUGUCCGGGCACUAAGAUGCCAAGCACUAAGAUCAGCACAGGCAAGAUGUAGUACGUCCUGCUCACAUGCUGCCUGCAUAAACUGAGGUUCUCCUUACUGUUUGCAGAAUUUAUCAUGUGUGGCCUGCUAUGGCUCUUGUCAUGGGGUGUGCUCCUCACAGCUUGAGGCUCCAUUUGCCUUGGGAAGAAGUGUGUUGUUGAGCUCUUUUCUGUUAUCUCAUCAAAGAAUAUGUCAGCUUCUGUGGGAACAGUAAUGACAUGUGGUUUGCUCUGAUCACAGCAUUUUGCUUUGUGAGCUGCUGACUGUUGCUGUGUCCAGGGUAAUCAUGAGGUGAACCGGAGUGCCAGAAAUUUGUCUUUUUGCCUGCUGCCAUGAAAGUGCUGCUCUGUUUUCCCUCAGCCCAAUUGUGCAAUAUGAGACAGGGUUUGCUCCUCUCCUAAAUCCACUAUUCACCUUGAUCUACUCAAAAGCACUAAGUUGCUGUACACUGUGGUUCUGCUGCUGCGUUCUGGUGAAGGUAAAGACUCUUGCGUAUGUCUGCACUGGAUCCCUGCAGCAACAUGUCACUGUGAGUGUACAGGUGUCUGUGUGGCUUUUGUUCUUGUGAAACCAUCAUGCCAGCAUCUUUUCAUGGCUAAGGUUAUCUUUUCGCUAAGUUAGAUAUCAAGUUACAUUUUGCAGGGGAGCUGUGGACAUUUUCGAGAUCAGACCUAGAGCACACUCUGUAAGGCAGAUGUACAA
This 1084-nucleotide long non-coding RNA is filed under the name Anser brachyrhynchus (Pink-footed goose). RNAcentral describes it as "lncRNA (ENSABRG00000006001.1)". The record is from RNAcentral. Lineage: Eukaryota; Metazoa; Chordata; Aves; Anseriformes; Anatidae.